Molecule: ribosomal RNA, 253 nt
Filed under: uncultured bacterium
Lineage: Bacteria
Description: partial 16S ribosomal RNA
Rfam family: Bacterial small subunit ribosomal RNA
Source: RNAcentral
UACGUAGGUGGCAAGCGUUGUCCGGAAUUACUGGGCGUACAGCGCGCGCAGGCGGACCGCCACGUGCCGUGUGACAAGCCACUGCUCAACAGUGGAGGGCCAGGGUACACGAGCGGUCUGGAGGCAGGGAGAGGGAUGUGGAAUGCCCGGUGGAGCGGUGAAAUGCGUAGAGAUCGGGCGGAACACCAGCGGCGAAGGCGGCAUCCUGGUCCUGUUCUGACGCUGAGGCGCGAGAGCGUGGGGAGCGAACUGG